This 253-nucleotide ribosomal RNA is filed under the name uncultured bacterium. RNAcentral's name for it is "partial 16S ribosomal RNA". It matches the Rfam family "Bacterial small subunit ribosomal RNA", at positions 524 to 776 of the family's 1533-position model. The record is from RNAcentral.
GACGGAGGGUGCUAGCGUUGUUCGGAAUCACUGGGCGUAAAGGGCGCGUAGGCGGCCUGGCCAGUCAGAUGUGAAAGCCCGGGGCUCAACUCCGGAAUUGCAUUUGAUACUGCCAAGCUGGAGGUCGGAAGAGGAGGGUGGAAUAUCCAGUGUAGAGGUGAAAUUCGUAGAUAUUGGAUGGAACACCGGUGGCGAAAGCGGCUCUCUGGUCCGAACCUGACGCUGAGGCGCGAAAGCGUGGGGAGCAAACAGG